RNAcentral lists this ribosomal RNA (700 nucleotides) under uncultured bacterium. Its description in RNAcentral is "bacterial SSU rRNA". It matches the Rfam family "Bacterial small subunit ribosomal RNA", at positions 8 to 701 of the family's 1533-position model. The record is from RNAcentral.
AGAGUUUGAUCAUGGCUCAGAUUGAACGCUGGCGGCAUGCUUUACACAUGCAAGUCGAGCGGCAGCGCGGGGGCAACCCUGGCGGCGAGCGGCGAACGGGUGAGUAACACAUCGGAACGUGUCCUGUGGUGGGGGAUAACCUGGCGAAAGCCAGGCUAAUACCGCAUGGGCUCGUAAGAGCAAAGCGGGGGACUCGCAAGAGCCUCGCGCCGCAGGAGCGGCCGAUGUCCGAUUAGCUAGUUGGUGGGGUAAAGGCUCACCAAGGCGACGAUCGGUAGCUGGUCUGAGAGGAUGAUCAGCCACACUGGGACUGAGACACGGCCCAGACUCCUACGGGAGGCAGCAGUGGGGAAUUUUGGACAAUGGGGGCAACCCUGAUCCAGCCAUGCCGCGUGAGUGAAGAGGGCCUUCGGGUUGUAAAGCUCUUUCGGUGGGAACGAAACGGGUGCGGCUAAUACCUGCGCUCAAUGACGGUACUCACAGAAGAAGCACCGGCUAACUACGUGCCAGCAGCCGCGGUAAUACGUAGGGUGCGAGCGUUAAUCGGAAUUACUGGGCGUAAAGCGUGCGCAGGCGGUGCGCCAAGCUCGAUGUGAAAGCCCCGGGCUUAACCUGGGAAUUGCAUUGAGGACUGGCGUGCUCGAGUGCGGCAGAGGGGGGUGGAAUUCCGCGUGUAGCAGUGAAAUGCGUAGAUAUGCGG